This 253-nucleotide ribosomal RNA is filed under the name uncultured bacterium. RNAcentral describes it as "partial 16S ribosomal RNA". It matches the Rfam family "Bacterial small subunit ribosomal RNA", at positions 524 to 776 of the family's 1533-position model. The record is from RNAcentral.
GACGUAGGGCGCGAGCGUUGUCCGGAUUUAUUGGGCGGAAAGGGCGCGUAGGCGGUGCGGUAAGUCACCUGUGAAAUCUCCUGGCUCAACUGGGAGCUUGCAGGCGAAACUGCCGUGCUGGAGUGUGGGAGAGGUGCGUGGAAUUCCCAGUGUAGAGGUGAAAUUCGUAGAUAUUGGGAAGAACACCGGUGGCGAAGGCGGCAACCUGGUCCUUGACUGACGCUGAGGCGCGAAAGCGUGGGGAGCAAACAGG